Molecule: ribosomal RNA, 610 nt
Filed under: Microcera diploa
Lineage: Eukaryota; Fungi; Ascomycota; Sordariomycetes; Hypocreales; Nectriaceae
Description: eukaryotic LSU rRNA
Rfam family: 5.8S ribosomal RNA (bases 216-369)
Source: RNAcentral
GUCGUAACAAGGUCUCCGUUGGUGAACCAGCGGAGGGAUCAUUAUCGAGUUUACAAACUCCCAAAACCCCCUGUGAACGUACCUAUCGUUGCUUCGGCGGGCCCUUCCGCCCCGGCGCCCCUCGCGGCCUGGGAUCCCGGGGGCUCGCCGAGGGACACGCAAACUCUUGUAUUGGUUGAGCAUCUUCUGAGUUAAAGACCAAAAAAACGAAUCAAAACUUUCAACAACGGAUCUCUUGGUUCUGGCAUCGAUGAAGAACGCAGCGAAAUGCGAUAAGUAAUGUGAAUUGCAGAAUUCCGUGAAUCAUCGAAUCUUUGAACGCACAUUGCGCCCGCCAGAAUUCUGGCGGGCAUGCCUGUCCGAGCGUCAUUUCAACCCCUCGCGCCCCUUCGGGGGAGCGGCGUUGGGGCUCGGCCUGCCCCCCCCGGUCCGCCGGGCUAGGGACGGGCCGUCCCCGAAAUCGAGUGGGCGGUCUCGCGAUCGGCUUCCUCUGCGUAGUAGCAAUAUCUCGCACCGGGACGUCGCGCGGCCACGCCGUUAAACCCCCAACUUUCUGAAAGGUUGACCUCGGAUCAGGUAGGAAUACCCGCUGAACUUAAGCAUAUCAAUA